Long non-coding RNA from Prunus persica (peach), 402 nucleotides. RefSeq lists it as uncharacterized. The record is from RefSeq and is a predicted model, not a curated record. Lineage: Eukaryota; Viridiplantae; Streptophyta; Magnoliopsida; Rosales; Rosaceae. The transcript has 2 exons.
ACCCCAAUCUAUUUUCACGGAAUCUCUUCUCAUCGUGCGUCUUCUCCUUCGCAUCCCUUUGCUUCUUCACGUCAUCUCUUUCACAGAGUUCUCAUUCUCUCGAAUCUCUUGUAUUCUUCCUAUUAUUUUUUUCUUGCUGAAUCAAAUGAAUCACACUCCUGAGAAGCCACAAGACUCAUGAUAAAAGAUGUGGGCAGCAGAGUGCAUAAUUCAAUACUUUUUCUGUGGGCUGUGGGGUGGAGAAAAUUAGCAAGGAUGGAUCUGGUAUUUUGCCUUUAUGAGUUGGUGACCACCUUUUCUAUUCAUUCUUCUACACAUAAAGGGAAUAAAUUGUACUUGUUUUUUCUGGGUAAUCUCAUUACACCUUAAGCAUUUAUAAGUUAAGAUAUAUCUAUGAUUCCA